RNAcentral lists this ribosomal RNA (664 nucleotides) under uncultured archaeon. Its description in RNAcentral is "bacterial SSU rRNA". It matches the Rfam family "Archaeal small subunit ribosomal RNA", at positions 207 to 876 of the family's 1478-position model. The record is from RNAcentral.
CUGCAGGUCGACGAUUAUUAGGUUGUUGUUGGGGUAACGGCCCAACAAGCCAGUAAUCGGUACGGGUUGUGGGAGCAAGAGCCCGGAGUUGGAUUCUGAGACACGAAUCCAGGCCCUACGGGGCGCAGCAGGCGCGAAAACUUUACAAUGCGGGCAACCGUGAUAAGGGAACCUCGAGUGCCUGUAUAUGCAGACUGUCCAGGUGUCUAAAACACACCUGAAGAAAGGGCCGGGCAAGACCGGUGCCAGCCGCCGCGGUAAUACCGGCGGCUCGAGUGGUGGCCACUUUUAUUGGGCUUAAAGCGUUCGUAGCUGGGUUGUUAAGUCUCUUGGGAAAUCCGGCAGCUUAACUGUCGGGCGUCUAAGAGAUACUGGCAAUCUUGGAACCGGGAGAGGUGAGGGGUACUUCGGGGGUAGGAGUGAAAUCCUGUAAUCCUCGAGGGACCACCUGUGGCGAAGGCGCCUCACCAGAACGGCUUCGACAGUGAGGGACGAAAGCUGGGGGAGCAAACCGGAUUAGAUACCCGGGUAGUCCCAGCCGUAAACGAUGCGCGUUAGGUGUAUCGGUGACCACGAGUCACCGAGGUGCCGAAGGGAAACCGUGAAACGUGCCGCCUGGGAAGUACGGUCGCAAGGCUGAAACUUAAAGGAAUUGGCGGGAAUC